GCGGGAAUAGCUCAGUUGAUAGAGCAUUAGCCUUCCAAGCUGAGGGUCGCGGGUUUGAGUCCCGUUUCCCGCUC
This 74-nucleotide transfer RNA is filed under the name Coprobacter fastidiosus. RNAcentral describes it as "tRNA-Gly". It matches the Rfam family "tRNA". From Rfam's summary of the family: Transfer RNA (tRNA) molecules are approximately 80 nucleotides in length. RNAcentral also lists the same sequence under 3 other names. The record is from RNAcentral. Lineage: Bacteria; Pseudomonadati; Bacteroidota; Bacteroidia; Bacteroidales; Barnesiellaceae.